AGGUCCUACACCUCCACUAUCCAGCAGAUACAGAGCAGGUCCUGGUCGGGCAGUAAGAAGAUUACAUGAGGAGGAGGCUUUAGGUAGGAAGACCAGGCGACAUUGGGUACUCUGCUCGUAUUCUUAUAACAUGUGAGCACAGACAAGGUCUGGACCAGGAGACUCCUAAUAUAAAAGGCGAUUAUGGGCCCAACAGGAGGAUAUCACUGGGUUGUUUUCCUCAGUUAUUCUGCCCGGUAACAGCUGUUCUGCUGAGAGAUGGAUUCCUGCUUCUGAUUGGAGGAUCAGAUUCUGCCCGGUAACCAUGAUCUUCUGCCCAGCGAUGCUCCAGCCCAACAACAGCAUUCUGAUUGGCUGGAGGCCCAUUGGCGGGAAAAGUAUUUCCCUUAUAUACUGGGCUGUGGUGUCUCCAGCUCAGUCACCUGUGGGAAGAUUAGAAGAAGCCCCGCCCUCCCCCUUUUAUUUCACUUUCCUUUCCAUCACAAUGUUUUAUAGAAGAGCUGAUCCAGUUGUCUCCUAUUCUCCUGAAUGACCCCCAAGGAUGGACAAGGACAGGAAUGAGAUGACUAAGAGAUUAUUACACUUCACCUUGGAGAUCCUCCACCUGCUGACCGGAGAGGAUUACACCAUAGUGAAGAAGACAUGGGGGGAGUGUGUGGCCCCCAGCAGCCAUCUCCAUGAGUCAGGAGGAUGGAGCAGGGCCCGGGGCCCCAUCACAGAGCCUCCACCUCACUCACUGAUACAUGAGGAGAAGAUCCUAGAACUCACCCACAGGAUCACUGAGCUGCUGA
Long non-coding RNA from Hyla sarda, 791 nucleotides. RefSeq lists it as uncharacterized. Lineage: Eukaryota; Metazoa; Chordata; Amphibia; Anura; Hylidae. The transcript has 5 exons. The record is from RefSeq and is a predicted model, not a curated record.